RNAcentral lists this ribosomal RNA (618 nucleotides) under uncultured bacterium. Its description in RNAcentral is "bacterial SSU rRNA". The stretch from base 1 to 520 matches the Rfam family "Bacterial small subunit ribosomal RNA", at positions 338 to 873 of the family's 1533-position model. The record is from RNAcentral.
CCUACGGGAGGCAGCAGUGGGGAAUCUUGCGCAAUGGGCGAAAGCCUGACGCAGCCAUGCCGCGUGAAUGAUGAAGGUCUUAGGAUUGUAAAAUUCUUUCACCGAGGACGAUAAUGACGGUACUCGGAGAAGAAGCCCCGGCUAACUUCGUGCCAGCAGCCGCGGUAAUACGAAGGGGGCUAGCGUUGCUCGGAAUUACUGGGCGUAAAGGGAGCGUAGGCGGAUAGUUUAGUCAGAGGUGAAAGCCCAGGGCUCAACCUUGGAAUUGCCUUUGAUACUGGCUAUCUUGAGUACGGAAGAGGUAUGUGGAACUCCGAGUGUAGAGGUGAAAUUCGUAGAUAUUCGGAAGAACACCAGUGGCGAAGGCGACAUACUGGUCCGUUACUGACGCUGAGGCUCGAAAGCGUGGGGAGCAAACAGGAUUAGAUACCCUGGUAGUCCACGCUGUAAACGAUGAGUGCUAGUUGUCGGCAUGCAUGCAUGUCGGUGACGCAGACUACGACAUAAGACGACGUCCGCCGUCGGGGAGGUACGGUCGGUCGAAGAAGUUAAACGUUAACGUAAAGGAAAGUUAGUACGGCGUUGAGACGNGCCGACGGACGACGACGAGGGAGGAGG